RNAcentral lists this long non-coding RNA (1660 nucleotides) under Homo sapiens (human). Its description in RNAcentral is "HSALNT0177814". The record is from RNAcentral. Lineage: Eukaryota; Metazoa; Chordata; Mammalia; Primates; Hominidae.
AGUGAUCCACCUGCCUCCACCUCCCAAAGUGUUGGGAUUACAGGCGUGAGCCACCGCGCCUGGCCAGAAAUUCACUGUUUUUAACGGAUUACUUUGCAGGCCACAUAGUACACAUCUACAGCUGGACCUGAGUCCAGGAACAAAACCAACAGCCCACAGCAGGAAGGGCGGCAAGGAGGGGCUCCUGAGGCCACAGCCCCCGCUGCUGCCGGCGGACAUCUUCACCCCCUAGGACUCCUGUGUCCCCUUGGUACCGGCUCUGGGGGUGAUGGUCACAAACAGGCACAUCUGCUCCCAAACCAUGGUGCAGAAGGGCUCCAGUGCUGGGUCUGAAGAGGAACCGGGAUUUCGUGCAGAAGCAGAGUAGCUACUAACGAGGAGAAAAGAAAAUCAUCACAGUCAAAGCAAGUUCAACAAAAACAGCAUUUUGCUGCUAACUUGCUCCAAGAAAACCUAAAAUCUUCAACUGGCUCAUUCGUCCUCCAGUACCUCUGAUGAAAAGGUAGACAGACUUUUCCACUAAUUAUUUCAGCCACUGUGAAAAUAUGAAAGCUGACCUGGGAGAGAAGAUACAUAAUAAAAACAAACAAAAAACCUCACGGCCAGCGCUGACUUUGUCAAGAAGAGGGACUCUGGACACACAAGGGGCACCUGGGGGUGCAUGCGCACAGAGGGAUGAUCACAGGAAGACACAGCAAGAAGGCAGCCACGUGCACGCCAGGGAGCGAGACCUCAGGAGGACCCAGCCCUGCCACACCUUGAUCUUGGACAAACAGCCUCCAGGACUGUGAGACCAUCAAUGUCUGUCGUCUAGACUGCCAGUUCUGUGGUGCUCUGUGAUGGCAGCCUGAGCUGACUCCUCCAGUCCCCAGGACCCUCCUGAUAGGUUUGUGAAACAGAUGCAUGGAACAAACAGAUUUCUGAAAAGAACCUCCAUCUAUCCAGGUUUCCUGGGAUUUCCCUAAUCACCAUCAAACAAACACUCUGUUACCAGCCCUGCUGGCAUCUCUGGAUGAACUCAAGAAACGGGAUCCUGCCUCUGAGUUUCCGCCCUCCACUGGUGUCACCGUCUCCUGUCCUGAGUUUCUCUCCCCGUUCAGCCAAAUCCUUCCCUUUCAGACUCGCUCUACCCCAGGUCAGAACCAACUGCCUAUGGUACACAAGCUCCCCUUCCUCUCACCUCAGAGGGCCUGGAGUCCACGCCUAAUUCCACAUCUAAUUCCUUCCUAAGCUGUGCCUCCUGACUCCAGCUCUGAGAACUAAUUCCAUUACACAUACACCCUCCAACCCUCCUCUGGACACAUACAUUUGUGAAAUGUAACUGGAUAGAACAAAAACACACAGGUCAUUUUGCUGCUGAAUUUUUAAGAGGGCUUUAUAUGGCAGUGUCUCAGAGAAAGGGGUAAACGCAGCAUUUCCCAAGUGCACUUGCCCCAGACAUUCUUUUCCCCUGGGGCUCAUAAACAAUCUCCCACAACAGGAAGAGAAGCUAUGGUCUGAGUUGCCCAUAGUCCCUUCCUUGCUACACUCAAGAUCUUAGAAGCAAAAGCCAAUCACAUACCUACAAUGCAUGGCCCACUGAGGCCAGCACCCUGCCAAGUAUUAUCGCCUGAAAGAGGGAUAGCAUUAGGAGAUAUACCUAAUGUAAAUGACGAGUUAA